UCUUUGGUAGUAUAGUGGUAAGUACAUGUAUUCAUCAAGACUGAGCGCGGGCGACCGGGGUUCAAUUCCCCGCCAAAGAG
Terfezia boudieri ATCC MYA-4762 is the source of this 80-nucleotide non-coding RNA. NCBI's taxonomy places the organism in Eukaryota, Fungi, Ascomycota, Pezizomycetes, Pezizales, Pezizaceae. The record is from the annotation of a GenBank genome assembly.